GGGGUGCCGCAGCAAGAGCGGCAUCCGGACGAGGGCGCAGUACCCGGAACGCGACAAGACUGACCAC
RNAcentral lists this non-coding RNA (67 nucleotides) under Okibacterium fritillariae. Lineage: Bacteria; Bacillati; Actinomycetota; Actinomycetes; Micrococcales; Microbacteriaceae. The record is from RNAcentral.